AGGUGUAGCCAAGUGGUAAGGCAUGGGACUUUGACUCCCUGACUCGCUGGUUCGAAUCCAGCCAUCU
This 67-nucleotide transfer RNA is filed under the name human gut metagenome. It matches the Rfam family "tRNA". From Rfam's summary of the family: Transfer RNA (tRNA) molecules are approximately 80 nucleotides in length. The record is from RNAcentral. RNAcentral also lists the same sequence under 1 other name.